Molecule: ribosomal RNA, 195 nt
Filed under: uncultured fungus
Lineage: Eukaryota; Fungi
Description: partial 26S ribosomal RNA
Rfam family: Eukaryotic large subunit ribosomal RNA
Source: RNAcentral
GCCUCAGUAACGGCGAGUGAAGCUGCAAAAGCUCAAAUUUGAAAUCCCCCCGGGGAGUUGUAAUUUGAAGAUUGCGUCUUGGAGGCGACCGUGUCUAUGUUCCUUGGAACAGGACGUCACAGAGGGUGAGAAUCCCGUGCGGCACGGCCCCCGGCUCCUUAUAAGGCGCUCUCGACGAGUCGAGUUGUUUGGGAA